ACGUGCCUACGGGGGGCAGCAGUGGGGAAUAUUGCGCAAUGGGGGAAACCCUGAUGCAGCGACGCCGCGUGAAGGAAGAAGUAUUUCGGUAUGUAAACUUCUAUCAGCAGGGAAGAAAAUGACGGUACCUAACUAAGAAGCCCCGGCUAACUACGUGCCAGCAGCCGCGGUAAUACGUAGGGGGCAAGCGUUAUCCGGAUUUACUGGGUGUAAAGGGAGCGUAGGCGGUGCAGCAAGUCAGAAGUGAAAGCCCGGGGCUCAACUCCGGGACUGCUUUUGAAACUGUUGAACUAGAUUGCAGGAGG
Molecule: ribosomal RNA, 305 nt
Filed under: uncultured bacterium
Lineage: Bacteria
Description: bacterial SSU rRNA
Rfam family: Bacterial small subunit ribosomal RNA
Source: RNAcentral